RNAcentral lists this long non-coding RNA (564 nucleotides) under Pan troglodytes (chimpanzee). RNAcentral describes it as "long non-coding RNA NONPTRT018346". The record is from RNAcentral. Lineage: Eukaryota; Metazoa; Chordata; Mammalia; Primates; Hominidae.
CGCGUCGGUAUUUUGCGGGCAACUAGCUCUUCCAGCUGCUGUAAAUUGCUGCUGCGGGAGAAACUGGAGCCGCUGUAGCCGGCGCGCCCUUCUUCCCCUACUGCGAGGAGCCACCGCCUCUUUCGCGCUCCUUAUACACCUAUCACUGGGAGCGGUGGCAGCAACGUUCCCUGGACCAACCGCCGCCUCUUCAGGCGGCCGCUUUGCCGGUCAUUCCCGAAGCCCGGCAACUGAGGGCGGCCCCCUUUCCUUAACAGUCUCCUCGCUACAGAUCGUCUGCUCCCUCAGCCUCGCCCGAGACCCACUUCCCCAGUCUCGCCCGGGUGGAGGUCGACGAGGAGGAGACAAGAGUCACCCUUCCUCCAGGCGGCGCCGGCCCCCUCACCCGCGGGUGUGUCCUAUAAAUGGCGUCGGAAAGCGACACCGAGGAAUUCUAUGAUGCCCCUGAAGAUGUGCACCUAGGGGGCGGCUACCCCGUGGGGUCUCCAGGAAAAGUUGGGCUUUCAACAUUCAAGGAAACAGAGAACACUGCAUACAAAGUUGGAAAUGAGUCCCCUGUACAAG